This 73-nucleotide microRNA precursor is filed under the name Vicugna pacos (alpaca). Its description in RNAcentral is "miRNA (ENSVPAG00000018028.1)". Lineage: Eukaryota; Metazoa; Chordata; Mammalia; Artiodactyla; Camelidae. The record is from RNAcentral.
UAGGGUGAUUCCCUUUCAUGGUUUGCCUGGGACAGAGGGGGUUCCUGGGACACCAGUCUUUCAGUUUUAAGAC